GCCCCCGUAGCUCAGUGGAGAAGAGCAUCGGUUUCCUAAACCGUGUGUCGGAGGUUCGAUUCCUCCCGGGGGCACCC
RNAcentral lists this transfer RNA (77 nucleotides) under Actinomycetes bacterium. RNAcentral's name for it is "Actinobacteria bacterium tRNA-Arg". It matches the Rfam family "tRNA". Rfam says of the family: Transfer RNA (tRNA) molecules are approximately 80 nucleotides in length. Their secondary structure includes four short double-helical elements and three loops (D, anti-codon, and T loops). Lineage: Bacteria; Bacillati; Actinomycetota; Actinomycetes. The record is from RNAcentral.